GGGGGAUUCAAAAAAUAUACGAAAAUCAAUCAAAAACGAAAAUUUCAAAAGGUUAUCUUUUGCUCUUAGUUUGGUUUCAAUUUCUGUUUUCAUAUUUUUUUUCUUUUUAUUAUUACAAUCGGAAAUCAAAAAGAAAAAGGGAGGGAAUACCCUUACCGUUGAUUUUUUUUCCGGCCGCCAUCGUUGGUGUCGCACAACGGAGCAGCUGCAAGGAUGGGCUAACUCUUUUGCCCUAGCAAAGAAAGAUUGAAAACCUAUUUUGCUUCUUUUGAUUUCAGCGCAAGCUAGGCUUUGAAAACCUAGCAGAGGAAAAGAAGAAAAAAUAGGGAGGUGGGCUCUGUAAAUUUUUUAAAAAAGAAAAAGG
RNAcentral lists this long non-coding RNA (364 nucleotides) under Gossypium barbadense (sea-island cotton). Its description in RNAcentral is "long non-coding RNA (GBAR_LNC004170)". Lineage: Eukaryota; Viridiplantae; Streptophyta; Magnoliopsida; Malvales; Malvaceae. The record is from RNAcentral.